GAUGAACGCUGGCGGCGUGCCUAAUACAUGCAAGUCGAGCGAACAGAUAAGGAGCUUGCUCCUUUGACGUUAGCGGCGGACGGGUGAGUAACACGUGGGUAACCUACCUAUAAGACUGGAAUAACUCCGGGAAACCGGGGCUAAUGCCGGAUAACAUUUAGAACCGCAUGGUUCUAAAGUGAAAGAUGGUUUUGCUAUCACUUAUAGAUGGACCCGCGCCGUAUUAGCUAGUUGGUAAGGUAACGGCUUACCAAGGCAACGAUACGUAGCCGACCUGAGAGGGUGGUCGGCCACACUGGAACUGAGACACGGUCCAGACUCCUACGGGAGGCAGCAGUAGGGAAUCUUCCGCAAUGGGCGAAAGCCUGACGGAGCAACGCCGCGUGAGUGAUGAAGGUCUUCGGAUCGUAAAACUCCGUUAUUAGGGAAGAACAAAUGUGUAAGUAACUGUGCACGUCUUGACGGUACCUAAUCAGAAAGCCACGGCUAACUACGUG
This 497-nucleotide ribosomal RNA is filed under the name uncultured bacterium. Its description in RNAcentral is "partial 16S ribosomal RNA". It matches the Rfam family "Bacterial small subunit ribosomal RNA", at positions 28 to 507 of the family's 1533-position model. The record is from RNAcentral.